Molecule: ribosomal RNA, 253 nt
Filed under: uncultured bacterium
Lineage: Bacteria
Description: partial 16S ribosomal RNA
Rfam family: Bacterial small subunit ribosomal RNA
Source: RNAcentral
UACGUAGGUGGCAAGCGUUAUCCGGAUUUAUUGGGCGUAAAGGGAACGCAGGCGGUCUUUUAAGUCUGAUGUGAAAGCCUUCGGCUUAACCGGAGUAGUGCAUUGGAAACUGGGAGACUUGAGUGCAGAAGAGGAGAGUGGAACUCCAUGUGUAGCGGUGAAAUGCGUAGAUAUUAGGAGGAACACCAGUGGCGAAGGCGGUCUGCUGGACAGCAACUGACGGUGAGGCGCGAAAGCGUGGGGAGCAAACAGG